This 379-nucleotide ribosomal RNA is filed under the name uncultured bacterium. RNAcentral describes it as "partial 16S ribosomal RNA". It matches the Rfam family "Bacterial small subunit ribosomal RNA", at positions 338 to 733 of the family's 1533-position model. The record is from RNAcentral.
CCUACGGGAGGCAGCAGUGGGGAAUUUUGCGCAAUGGGCGAAAGCCUGACGCAGCGACGCCGCGUGGGCGAGGAAGGCCUUCGGGUUGUAAAGCCCUUUUGGCAGGGAAGAGCAAGGACUGUACCUGCAGAACAAGUCACGGCUAACUACGUGCCAGCAGCCGCGGUAAUACGUAGGGGGCAAGCGUUACUCGGAAUUACUGGGCGUAAAGGGUGUGUAGGCGGCCGAGCAAGUCGAAGAUGAAAUCCCAGGGCUUAACCCUGGAAUUGUCUUCGAUACUGCUUGGCUUGAGGGUAGGAGAGGAGAGCGGAAUUCCCGGUGGAGGGGUAAAAUGCGUAGAUAUCGGGAGGAACACCAGAGGCGAAGGCGGCUCUCUAGG